GUCUAGCCCAUUUGUUUUCACUCCAGAAAACCUUUCAACUUUUCUACUUAGCUUUUUACUCUUUUUCUCAUGCAUCCAAAACAGUUCCAACUCUCUCUUCUUUCUCUGAAACAGCAACUGAGCUAGGGACCUUGCAAAAUCUUUCUUCGAGCUAAAGGGACAUUUUUUCCUCCAUCUUCUUAAGCUGCAGUUGUACUGUGGUACUCUUCAGCUAGGCUUUCCCUCUCCUCGCAAGUCCGCUCCUAGUUUCGAGAUGCGAAAACUCUUGAUAAUCAUGCAGAUGGUGGGGAUGCGAUUGUUUAGUUUAUGCAGAUUUGUUAUUGAUCUUUUAAACAUCUUCUAAUAAACUAUGUUAUUUGUAAUUCUUUGCUC
This is a long non-coding RNA of Vigna unguiculata (cowpea), 372 nucleotides long. RefSeq lists it as uncharacterized. NCBI's taxonomy places the organism in Eukaryota, Viridiplantae, Streptophyta, Magnoliopsida, Fabales, Fabaceae. The record is from RefSeq and is a predicted model, not a curated record.